This 74-nucleotide transfer RNA is filed under the name Pedobacter frigiditerrae. Its description in RNAcentral is "Pedobacter sp. RP-1-13 tRNA-Cys". It matches the Rfam family "tRNA". Rfam says of the family: Transfer RNA (tRNA) molecules are approximately 80 nucleotides in length. Their secondary structure includes four short double-helical elements and three loops (D, anti-codon, and T loops). The record is from RNAcentral. Lineage: Bacteria; Pseudomonadati; Bacteroidota; Sphingobacteriia; Sphingobacteriales; Sphingobacteriaceae.
UGUUGGAUAGCUCAGUUGGUUAGGGCGUCCCGAUGCAAUCGGGAAGGUCACGAGUUCAACUCUCGUUCCCGCUA